Molecule: transfer RNA, 75 nt
Filed under: Cloacimonas acidaminivorans (SeqCode)
Lineage: Bacteria; Pseudomonadati; Candidatus Cloacimonadota; Cloacimonadia (SeqCode); Cloacimonadales (SeqCode); Cloacimonadaceae (SeqCode)
Also listed under: 6 other names
Description: tRNA-Thr
Rfam family: tRNA
About the family: Transfer RNA (tRNA) molecules are approximately 80 nucleotides in length.
Source: RNAcentral
GCCGAUGUAGCUCAAAGGUAGAGCAAUUGAUUUGUAAUCAAUAGGUUGGGGGUUCAAUUCCCUUCAUCGGCUCCA